This 733-nucleotide ribosomal RNA is filed under the name uncultured bacterium. RNAcentral's name for it is "bacterial SSU rRNA". It matches the Rfam family "Bacterial small subunit ribosomal RNA", at positions 94 to 823 of the family's 1533-position model. The record is from RNAcentral.
AGUGGCGGACGGGUGAGUAAUGUCUGGGAAACUGCCCGAUGGAGGGGGAUAACUACUGGAAACGGUAGCUAAUACCGCAUAAUGUCGCAAGACCAAAGAGGGGGACCUUCGGGCCUCUUGCCAUCGGAUGUGCCCAGAUGGGAUUAGCUUGUUGGUGAGGUAAUGGCUCACCAAGGCGACGAUCCCUAGCUGGUCUGAGAGGAUGACCAGCCACACUGGAACUGAGACACGGUCCAGACUCCUACGGGAGGCAGCAGUGGGGAAUAUUGCACAAUGGGCGCAAGCCUGAUGCAGCCAUGCCGCGUGUAUGAAGAAGGCCUUCGGGUUGUAAAGUACUUUCAGCGGGGAGGAAGGCGACACGGUUAAUAACCGUGUUGAUUGACGUUACCCGCAGAAGAAGCACCGGCUAACUCCGUGCCAGCAGCCGCGGUAAUACGGAGGGUGCAAGCGUUGAUCGGAAUUACUGGGCGUAAAGCGCACGCAGGCGGUCUGUCAAGUCGGAUGUGAAAUCCCCGGGCUCAACCUGGGAACUGCAUUCGAAACUGGCAGGCUUGAGUCUUGUAGAGGGGGGUAGAAUUCCAGGUGUAGCGGUGAAAUGCGUAGAGAUCUGGAGGAAUACCGGUGGCGAAGGCGGCCCCCUGGACAAAGACUGACGCUCAGGUGCGAAAGCGUGGGGAGCAAACAGGAUUAGAUACCCUGGUAGUCCACGCCGUAAACGAUGUCGACUUGGAGG